Molecule: ribosomal RNA, 441 nt
Filed under: uncultured bacterium
Lineage: Bacteria
Description: bacterial SSU rRNA
Rfam family: Bacterial small subunit ribosomal RNA
Source: RNAcentral
AACGCGAAGAACCUUACCUGGGCUCGAAGCGCAGUGGACCGGGGUAGAAAUAUCCCUUUCUCGCAAGAGACUGCUGCGGAGGUGCUGCAUGGCUGUCGUCAGCUCGUGUCGUGAGAUGUUGGGUUAAGUCCCGCAACGAGCGCAACCCUUAUCCCUAGUUGCCAUCGGGUCAAGCCGGGCACUCUAGUGAAACCGCCCCGGAUAACGGGGAGGAAGGUGGGGAUGACGUCAAGUCCUCAUGGCCUUUAUGUCCAGGGCUACACACGUGUUACAAUGCGCGCCACAAAGCGUCGCGAACCCGCGAGGGGGAGCUAAUCGCAAAAAAGCGCGCUCAGUUCGGAUUGCAGUCUGCAACUCGACUGCAUGAAGCCGGAAUCGCUAGUAAUGGCGCAUCAGAACGGCGCCGUGAAUACGUUCCCGGGCCUUGUACACACCGGCUAC